Molecule: long non-coding RNA, 302 nt
Filed under: Ananas comosus (pineapple)
Lineage: Eukaryota; Viridiplantae; Streptophyta; Magnoliopsida; Poales; Bromeliaceae
Description: long non-coding RNA (ACOM_LNC018774)
Source: RNAcentral
GUAUUGGAACAUAAAAAUAAUUAAAAAACGGCCAAUAAUGAAAUUUAGAAAAUUUCUUUUCUAUUAGAGACGGUAAAUAAUUCACCGCCUUUCUCUUAAAGUAUAAAAUGUGAAUGAUUUAUUAAUUUUUUUUAUUCUCAUAUAUAAUCUUAACAACCACAUAAAAAUUUUAACAAAUUACAUAUAAUAUUUAUAACUUAAAAUAUUUUAACAACCUAUCUAUAUAAUUUUAACCAUAAAUAAAAAUUUAAUAAUGCUCAUACAAUCUUAAUAACCUCAAAAAAAUCCUCACAACAUAUAUA